This 2678-nucleotide long non-coding RNA is filed under the name Triticum aestivum (bread wheat). RNAcentral describes it as "long non-coding RNA (TAES_LNC003298)". Lineage: Eukaryota; Viridiplantae; Streptophyta; Magnoliopsida; Poales; Poaceae. The record is from RNAcentral.
UACAGACGUUGACAAUGGCCCUUUCUCUGAACUCCAUCUCGUAGCUGACAGUAAUCCAAGGCCUGAAAUGUCGAACAAUAUUUUGCAGAUAAGUUAAGAAGAUCAUAGGGCCUCUGUAUUCGAGAAAUGCACACAACCAUAUUGUGCAGACAUAUCAAACUAAAAAACAAUUGCGAGCACUUUAAAAGAGGGCCCUCUAUUUCUGUUAUUUUUUAAUUCACCAUGACCACUUUGCGCACACGCAGAUGUAAUCAACAUAACAACAUCUGUAUUCAUCCACCUCUGAGAUGGAAAUCAGGAGCCAUAUUUGUGAACUCAUAAGUUAAUUGUGAACCAUCUCUUAAGCUUGUCUGCUGAAGUAAGCCACUGUUUUCAUGUUUCAAGAGGUCAAAUUUUCAUGCUGGUUCUAGUGAUAUUUUCAGCCUGGAAUUAUUUGUUAACAUACAGAUAUAAAAUCAUAUUGAUAGUAUAGGAGCUAAAUAUCUCAACCCUGUUUUACCGUAAAUGAUAUGGAUAUCAUACUCGUGUAUUCAGUGAUGGCCUAGUGUUCCUAUUUACUCUCCGAACUAUAUGUGCAAGGACAGAGCGAGAGCCAUGGGGAAAAACAAAAGAGGAUCAAUGUAGUGAGUUUGAGUGGUACAUGCAACAGUCUGGAACAUCAAAUUCAUUACGAUGAUACAACCACAAAUUACUGAACUUGCAUGUACAAACUUAUUAAGCUCUGUAGUUUCAUCACAAAUGUGUUGAAGCAGUCUGUAUAAAAAGUUCCUUACCUAUGGAGGAGCAUGUCUAGUUGUGGUGGUAGUCGGACUUGGAGCCAAAGGAGAUGAGGUCACGGCCCUUGUCGAGGACGACAUCUACCUUGCUCGCUCCCAACUUGCCACUGUCAAGGCCCACUUCAACAUCGAGCUCCCAACAACGCUAACUUUUUCCAUAUGAAAGAAGCAAAUAAUAUUUAACAACAAUAAAUUAUGUUCUCAAAUUCAACAUCCUUUAGAGCACCGGGGUCUCUAGCUGUCUGUCAAUCUGAAGUUCCAAACGGUCCAAUGCGAAAACCUCACAAAGUCACCACAAGCUUAUUUCCUGAUCUUUCGAUUCGAAAGAACUCCAAAGAAUUUCAGGUAACAUCGACCUGAUAAUGGAAACAAAGCUUGGAAAUGUCACAGCUAAUCGAUGGCAGAAUUAGUUUGAGAAAUAUAUAUAAAGAACAGAGGUUCUGGAAAUAUUUUAUAAACUGCCAGCGUCUAGGAUUCUGAUCUAAAAAAUAGAACACAUAAUGUUUCUGGUAUUUUAUUUUCUAUUAUUAAGGACUUGAGCCUCCUGACUCCUGUCAUGAAGUGGCUUGCAUGGACCUGAUGCAGGAACUUAACACAUUUGAUGUGCUUAAUAUUAAAGGACUGAUGUGCUUGAUGGCGAUUUGAACUACAUGUCUUUAUGUUAUUCAUCAUCAUAACCAUAAAAAAUUAUUAAAUUAGUAUAAAAUCACCCCUUCGAUGUGAAAAGCAUCUAAACAGAUGAUUGGCAAUAGUACUGCACAUAGCUAAAUUAUAUGGACUGGGUUGACCACUGAAGCCCAUGCUACAUUGUUGAUUCCAUCAUGUAGGCCUAAAUUCGCGUUGUUGGUGUGGUUGGGCAUUUCAUCUAACACCCGGAAGGACAUAGUUUAAUCAGUACAGAAUUUGGCCACCAACGAAUUUAGAGAGAAGCACUCAAAGAAUCAUGGAGAACGACACCAUACCGCCCCUGCCUCUGCCGCCACCACCCUCCUACACAAGUUAUUUUCAUCCUUAUACUUAUAAACCAGAGUCUGCAAUCUUAUGUAGUGAAAGGAAAAUCAAAAGAGGAGAAAAACAUAUUUCCAGAGCUCUUUGAUCCUUGAUGAAACAUUCUUAUUAUCUCUGAUAAACUUGUGUUCUCCAAUUUUAGUCUAACACUAUGAACUACCUCAUCAUACUGUUUUGAUAAACAAUACAAUUUUUUUUUGCUUUUGAAUAUGCUUGGAGAUGAAAACUGCUUGUUGCUAUUUAUUAAUAAUGGAAAUUGGUUAUGUACUGAUAAAGUGGUAGCACAUAAUACCUCCACCACAAGGAUUUUUAUCUGCAAGACAUCCGCAGAAUGUAAUUUGACAUUGUAUCCCCUGAAUAUGAAGGAUUGUUACUGUAUUAGUAAUCUGCAAGAGCACAAAUCGCCGCAUUCAUCAAUUGGAUAGUAAUCCACCAAAAAAUUCUGUUAUCACAAGAGAACACAAGGUACAGAAUAGAGUAGAGCACCCAUUUAUUAAAAGAAAACCAUGCCAAACUUUAAUAACCUGUAUAGAUGUAGCCACGGCUGGACAUGAAGUGGAGCAGGAGGAGCGCAAGAUGGAGAGGGAGAGGAGGCCCGCAGCAACAGUGGGGAACCAGAAGUGAUGGAGAAGCCAGCGCCCCCGGCCUCGCCUGGCCACCUCGACCCCGGCGACCCCCGCCAGAACCAGCUACCAAGUGCCGCCCUUCCUUCCUCCUCUCCCUCUCCUUCCUCUUGUUCUCUCCUUCCUCCAUCCCGUUCUCUCUCUUUCUCUCUGUUCGAACAGGAGGUACCGAGCCACCAUGCUCUUCCACAUCCGGAGCAUCCAUGCUGCGCCCAGCUAUGCCCAGUCGAACCUCGUUAACCCUAGCAAUCAGGAGGUCCUCCCGAUAGAG